CGAGCGGACAGAUGGGAGCUUGCUCCCUGAUGUUAGCGGCGGACGGGUGAGUAACACGUGGGUAACCUGCCUGUAAGACUGGGAUAACUCCGGGAAACCGGGGCUAAUACCGGAUGCUUGUUUGAACCGCAUGGUUCAAACAUAAAAGGUGGCUUCGGCUACCACUUACAGAUGGACCCGCGGCGCAUUAGCUAGUUGGUGAGGUAAUGGCUCACCAAGGCGACGAUGCGUAGCCGACCUGAGAGGGUGAUCGGCCACACUGGGACUGAGACACGGCCCAGACUCCUACGGGAGGCAGCAGUAGGGAAUCUUCCGCAAUGGACGAAAGUCUGACGGAGCAACGCCGCGUGAGUGAUGAAGGUUUUCGGAUCGUAAAGCUCUGUUGUUAGGGAAGAACAAGUACCGUUCGAAUAGGGCGGUACCUUGACGGUACCUAACCAGAAAGCCACGGCUAACUACGUGCCAGCAGCCGCGGUAAUACGUAGGUGGCAAGCGUUGUCCGGAAUUAUUGGGCGU
This 516-nucleotide ribosomal RNA is filed under the name Bacillus subtilis. Its description in RNAcentral is "bacterial SSU rRNA". It matches the Rfam family "Bacterial small subunit ribosomal RNA", at positions 63 to 561 of the family's 1533-position model. Lineage: Bacteria; Bacillati; Bacillota; Bacilli; Caryophanales; Bacillaceae. The record is from RNAcentral.